Molecule: unclassified non-coding RNA, 2708 nt
Filed under: Harpegnathos saltator (Jerdon's jumping ant)
Lineage: Eukaryota; Metazoa; Arthropoda; Insecta; Hymenoptera; Formicidae
Description: box A-binding factor, transcript variant X11
Source: RNAcentral
UCUAUCUAUCGUUAUCUAUCUACAUAUAUAUAUAUAUUUUUUUUUUGUGAGCUCCCAUUGCUUGUCUCACUGACCGGUUGCAUUCCGGUGCGUACACGCACGUGGUACGGUUGCCCCCUAUCUACGGUAAUUGUGCGUUCAAAGAAGUACGCACAGUUUAACAAUCCAACGAAAGUGUAAGACCCAACGAUAUAAAUGCGACACGUGCGUAACACGGCAAUACUGAAUAGGCUAUCGGGCGCGAUGAAAGAGACGCCAGUGAAGCAGGAGAUCAAGUUGGAGUGGGAAGGUCACGCUGAUGACAAUUCGUCUCACGUUCACGGGACGGAAGAUCAGAUGGUCGGCAGUCCUCAAAGUGUCAUUACGAGGAGGCAUGUGAGGACCAUCACUACUGCCGGCCACAUCGAGGAUAGUUCCGAGGUCGAUCCGGAAUCGCCGGACUCCAAUACUAUCAGCAGAAAUCUUCAUCGGGGACUUCACCAGCGGGCAGGAGAGCAACACGAACAAGCCCAGCAACGCGGCUACCAAGAAGAACAGCAGCAAACUCAUCAGACGCAGGGUCAUUACGUUCAGAUACCUCAUCCAGGCGUGGACGAGCAGCAACGAGCGACGGAUCAACAACGUGUUGUUUACGCCACUAGCAACGGCCAGCAAGUCCAAGUCGAGGUCUCUGAGACUCCGGAAGCUACUAUCACACUUACGGUCAAGGAACCGCCCAGAUACGAGACGCCCGCGCCCGACCGUAUGGAAGUGGACCGCAUCUACGCCUACUCGGAUGGCCACGAGAUGCGAAGGGAGAACCAUGUGAUCGCCGUGCAGGUGCCCGAUCAUCAUCGGCGAGCGCAGCAGGCCGCACAUAGCCAAAGAUUCAGUCCUCACGAGAAUCACCAAGCGUCCGGGUCGAGCAACAACAAUGCCAGAUACCAGGCGUCACCGGUAUUGGCCACGACGGAGGAUUACGACACGUCGACGAUCGUGACACAGCCGGGAUCCACGGUUCACCUGGGAUCGCCCGCACCGCCGUAUUCGCCGCCGAUCGAGGGCAUCCGCGCCGGGCAACAGCCUCAACAGCAACCACCGCAACAGCAACUCGUGGCGACGAGCUACGCCGACGUCAAGUACGACACCGAGGCCGCCGUGGCCGCGGAGAGUAUCAAAGCCUCCAACACGUACACCACUCUGGAGACGGUCGCUAUUCCAUCUACGCAGCCUGUCCAGUAUACACAGUACCUUUCAGCUAACGAGAAUUUCCAGCAGGCGUCUACGUAUAGCUACAGCAAGCAGGGUGACUCUGUGAUAUUGGCAUAUCCGCCGGCGACACAGCUGGGCUCGAGGUCCACCGAGGUGGAAUCACCCGCCAACGCAUACAUGAAGGGUGACCCUACAUUGGCAUCGUCCAUAUCCGCCGCAUCCCGGACGCUUCCGUUACACUAUGAGCAACCAGGUUCGCCAGGCUCGCAGGUAACGCUCUACAGCGCGGGCCCAGCGUCCUAUCAGUACAUGAAGCCGCCGCCGUCGAGCGAUCCUUACUGGACAGCCAGCACGCCUUCGCCCCCAACUCUAGAAUACGUGCAGGGCUAUUCUGGCGUCACUGCGAUCUCCGUCAGCGAGGGGACUAACAUGCAGAUAUACUCGGGCGGCGUCUAUAGCGUCGCUGCGAGUGGCAAUGGACCACCGACUGCGUGGACUACCCUUCCCCUGUCCGGCCCCGAGGAGACGUUCGACGGCGCCGUCAUGACAACGGAGCCGAAGGAAUGCGCAAACUGCGCGGCUAGUUUGACGCCAUUGUGGAGACGAGACGGCACCGGCCAUUAUCUGUGCAAUGCCUGCGGACUCUACAGCAAGAUGAACGGGCACAACAGGCCGCCGAUGAGGUGCCCCAAGCCGAAGCAGACGAUCACGCCGGUAAACAUUACGGGCGUGCGAAGAACGGGGGUGCAAUGCGCGAAUUGCAAGACGAGCAACACCACGCUCUGGAGACGAAACAACAGCGGCGAGCCGGUCUGCAACGCCUGCGGCCUUUAUUUCAAACUGCACAAUAUGAACAGGCCUCUGAGCAUGAAAAAGGACGGGAUACAGACGCGCAAGAGGAAACCAAAGAAUCAUACAAACCUCAGCGGCAACCUGCCCGGGCCGAGUGGCGUUCAUAAGACCGAUAUCAAGUCCAAUCUACUCGGUGAGUCUUCGGGUAUAAACUAUAUUUGGAAGAUGAGAAGCGAUGUUAUGGUACCUCAGAUAUCAUAAGAGGAUUUCACUUUGAAAGACCGACCAUUGGAAAGUGACAUUAAAGACGUUGACUGCCACGCUGAAGAACUCUAUCCAACCGAUAACCAAAUUGCUCCCGCGAAGACUGAUGCGAGUUAACGAGCUGGAAGCAGAGAUUCUUCCUCGCGUAUGUCAGCUCAUAUGUGGCAGUCAGUGUGUUAACAAGAAGAAAAUAAGAAAACGAGUGAAAAAGAGAAAUAAACUUGUUCUUUCCAGCAUUCCAAUCACAUUUCCUACAUAUUCCUCCAUCUUCGCACACCUCCCUGGUAUCCUCAUCAAUCGGCCGUGUUUAACGAGGUGGCUGGAUUAGUAGGUGUACCUACAGGUCGCGGACAGGGGUUGACCGAGACGCGUACCUGACGAAAUACGCGCGAGAGAAGGAGAGGGGAAGGAAAAUCACACACGAAACAUAAAACAGGAUUUUCACGUCGUUUUGCGAGCAG